RNAcentral lists this long non-coding RNA (332 nucleotides) under Vigna radiata. RNAcentral's name for it is "long non-coding RNA (VRAD_LNC001681)". Lineage: Eukaryota; Viridiplantae; Streptophyta; Magnoliopsida; Fabales; Fabaceae. The record is from RNAcentral.
UGGACUGAAGGUCAACAAGAGCUGACCCAUGCUGAUGGUACAAGUCAAUUCGAGCUUAUGUUGACAUAGGCCGACUUGGGCAAAAGGUCGACAUAGGUUGUCCCGUGUUGAAAGUUGAGACGGUCUGACCCAACUCGAAGAUACAAAUGAGCUAACUCGGGGUCAAAGGUCAAGAACAGUUGACUUAGCCAAAGGUCGAUGCUAGUCGGCCUAGGCCUAAAGACAAGAUGGGUCAGCUUAGGCAAAAGAUCGAGACAGGUCAUCCCACACCAAAGGUCGAGACUAGUCGAGAUGGGCCAGUUAAGACUGAAGGUCAAAACGGGGCCAACUCG